Pogoniulus pusillus (Red-fronted tinkerbird) is the source of this 1780-nucleotide long non-coding RNA. RefSeq lists it as uncharacterized. The record is from RefSeq and is a predicted model, not a curated record. The transcript is spliced from 2 exons. Lineage: Eukaryota; Metazoa; Chordata; Aves; Piciformes; Lybiidae.
UUGGCCCUCAGGGGCGAGCGUUUCCCGAAAGCUCCAGAGGCUUUUGGAAGCCUGCCGGGGGACAGAGUAGGUCUUACAGCCCGCAGGCCAUGGAUCCGUGUGUGCUCGUGUGGUGAUUUGGGACAGCUCAACUGGGACAGCUCUACAGCAAUGUGCCCGCUUCAGCUCCGGAGUUGAGCGGAUGGCUUCGUGCGCUCGGUGCGCAGAGGCCUGUGGCCGGCUUGCCGCGGGCAGGGCCGGGCUGCUGAGGCGCGGCGGGCAGGGGCACCUGGAGAGGGGAUAAUGGCUGCCGGGCUGCGAGAGGAGCCGAGCUGCAGGAGUCCAGCCGCAACCGGUCAGGCCUGUGUCUGGAAGCACAUUCUUCUGGAGGUUCCUGCCAUCCCUUGGUGAAAGGCUUUGCUGGAAAGGGCAGACAAACUGCUCGCAUCCUUCUGGCCCCUUCUUUCUUCAGUUGCUUCCUGUGGCUCCUGGUUCCCAUGGGUUGGCUCUGGCUCCAGAGGAGCCCACUCUCCAGCAGCAAGGACACAGUCUAAUAGAGCAUGGUACAACAUGCAACCCUGCCUCACUACCAAUCCUGAGUAUGUUCUUUUGCUUGCCAAUUAUGGCACUCCACGUUGAACAAGUUUUUAAUCAAUUCCAUAGUCAGAGGUACGCUGGAGAUUCUCCAAUUGCCAAGCAACUACGUGAGUGCCUUUACAACACACACACACACACACACUCGCUAUCAGCACUCCCUCUGAAGGUGACGCUUGUCUGGCUCUUCAACCUGUGCCAGAAGGGAGUUUAAUCCUCGUUCAGAAGCGUUCCUGGACAUUCUCUGAGCCCCUCUGCAGCCGACCCCGGGACCACCUCUCGAGAAGCCCGGCACGGGAGUCCUCCCCAGCAGCCCCACGCCGCUUCCGAGGGCGGCCGGCCCGCGGCAGUGCUUGCACGUCGCAGGGCGCCGGUCGGGGACUCCCAGCGCGUUCGGGCGCUCCAGGGAAGCGCAGAGCCGGUACCCGCACACCGGCGGCACCAGGCUGCCGGGGCCAUACAGAGACUGGCCGAGGGGAAGCGCCCCCGUGAGCAUGUGGAAGGAGCAGGGCUGCCAACUCACCCGAGCCGUCGCUCCCGCGCACAGGGCUGGAGAGCAGGAAAGUGCCUGCGAACAGACAGGGAGCGGGUCGGGGCGAUGCUCCGCGCUCUCCACGCCGGCCCCGAGCCGCUCCCCGUGGUACCCACCGACGAGAAUGGGUGUGAGCCACAUGACUGGAGGGUCCGCACUCUGCGAGAGCCGAGAACCCGAGCGAGAUUGCGCAGCGCAAAGCUACCCGCCUGCCCCCUCUACACUGCCACAACACCACCACCAGCAGCCGCCGCACCCGCUUUAAACCUCUCCUGGGGCGCAUGAGCACUGGGGCGAGAGAGGGUGGCCGGGGCGGGAGGGAAGGAGGGAGCGGACGCGGGGCUGGGCGGGCCCUUCGCUGGGCGAGGCCCGGCAGGUGCUGCCAUCUCUCCCCCGCCCCUCACCGCACAUCCUGCACCACCCAGGUCCUCGGGAACGGCAGCCCGAUGCUCCUCUAAGCAGCGGGAUCAAGCAAUUCACUCCCCUCCCCGCUACCUCAUCCACUGCGAGCAGGCAGCGGAGUCGUAAGGAACUUUCCAUGCCUUGCGAAGAUGUCUCUGACGUUUGCCUUUCCAGGUCUGUCCCUCUACCUGCAACUUUUGAAUGUCUUGUUUCAGAUGUCUUUAUUAUUAUUGUUGUUGUAAUAGAAUACCUUAUUCGAGAUACCUAAAGAAA